Molecule: long non-coding RNA, 422 nt
Filed under: Vigna radiata
Lineage: Eukaryota; Viridiplantae; Streptophyta; Magnoliopsida; Fabales; Fabaceae
Description: long non-coding RNA (VRAD_LNC015345)
Source: RNAcentral
GUGCAUGGUGGGGUUAAGAAAAGGAGUGAAGGAGACAAGUAAUUNAAGGCAUUCCAAAUUUCUCAUUCAGGUUGGUGGAAAAAAACGAGAGGUGUGAGACAAGAGCACGUGAGAAUUUUUCUUCAUGCAGAAAAGAAAGGCUUCCAAAAUUUAAGUUGUUUUCACUUUGCGUGAUGAAAGCCUUUGCCUGCUAAGAUGAAAAAGAAGAGAAGCAAGGUAGUAGGGUAAUAGUGGUGGUUAAAGAAAAGAAGGUGAUGUUGUCUGUACCAGUCAUUAAAGGUAAAAUUUUGAUGGAUGGAUACAAAGCAUUGGAACAAGCAGGAGUAUCAUUCUCCUUUUCAAAUUAUAAUGUUGCAUCAUCAAAUCCUUUCCAGAUUCUUGUUAUUUCCUAUGUGUUUUAUGGAUUCCAUUGAUCUUUCCUG